RNAcentral lists this ribosomal RNA (399 nucleotides) under uncultured bacterium. Its description in RNAcentral is "partial 16S ribosomal RNA". It matches the Rfam family "Bacterial small subunit ribosomal RNA", at positions 523 to 918 of the family's 1533-position model. The record is from RNAcentral.
AUACGUAGGGUCCAAGCAUUAUCCGGAUUGACUGGGUGUAAAGAGUUGCGUAGGUGGCAGGGUAAGUAGAUAGUGAAAUCUGGUGGCUCAACCAUUCAGACUAUUAUCUAAGCUGCUCCGCUCGAGAAUGUUAGGGGUAGCUGGAAUUUCUAGUGUAGGAGUGAAAUCCGUAGAUAUUAGAAAGAACACCGAUAGCGUAGGCAGGCUACUGGGACAUUUCUUACACUAAGGCACGAAAGCGUGGGGAGCAAACGGGAUUAGAUACCCCGGUAGUCCACGCUGUAAACGAUGGAUGCUAGCAGUUUUCGGUAUCGACCCCGAGAGUUGCGAAGCUAACGCGUUAAGCAUCCCACCUGUGUAGUACGAUCGCAAGAUUAAAACUUAAAGGAAUUGACGGGG